RNAcentral lists this ribosomal RNA (4871 nucleotides) under Pseudomonadota bacterium. RNAcentral describes it as "23S ribosomal RNA". The stretch from base 1 to 3890 matches the Rfam family "Bacterial large subunit ribosomal RNA". Lineage: Bacteria; Pseudomonadati; Pseudomonadota. RNAcentral also lists the same sequence under 1 other name. The record is from RNAcentral.
GUCCAAGCUACUAAGGGCACACGGUGGAUGCCUUGGCGCCAAGGGCCGAUGAAGGACGCUGUUGGCGGCGAAAGGGUCGGGGAGGUGCUAAGCAACCUUCGAUCCGACCGUCUCCGAAUGGGGCAACCCCGCGCGGGUCAUGCCGCGCGAUCCCGGGCUGAAUCCAUAGGCACGGGAGGGCAAGCCGGGGAACUGAAACAUCUCAGUACCCGGAGGAGGAGAAAUCAACCGAGAUUCCCCGAGUAGUGGCGAGCGAAAGGGGAAGAGCCCAAACCCCGGGUGCGUGAUAGCUUGCGGGCGUUGCACUCGGGGGGUUGUAGGGCGCCGUCGGGCCGGACCGCAAUCCGGCCGGGAAGUUACCAAUCGUCGGGUUAGCCGAACGGUCCUGGAACGGUCGGCCACAGCGGGUGAGAGCCCCGUAGGCGAAAGCCCGACGACUUCCUCGGCGGUGUCCCUGAGUACCACGGGACACGUGGAACCCCGUGGGAACCCGGGAGGACCACCUUCCAAGGCUAAAUACCCUUGGCGACCGAUAGCGCACGAGUACCGUGAGGGAAAGGUGAAAAGAACCCCGGGAGGGGAGUGAAAUAGAACCUGAAACCGUGUGCCUACAAGCAGUCGGAGGGCUAUGCUGGGUCUCCGGACCCGGAACGCCUGACGGCAUGCCUAUUGAAGAAUGAGCCGGCGAGUUGCGGCAUGUGGCGAGCUUAAGGGAGCGAAUCCUGGAGGCGCAGGGAAACCGAGUCUGAAGAGGGCGCCGUCCCCGGAUGGGGAGCCCGCGCAAGCGGGCAGUCGCAUGUUGCAGACCCGAAACCGGGUGAUCUACCCAUGACCAGGGUGAAGCGCGGCUAAUCCCGCGUGGAGGCCCGAACCCGCUGGUGUUGAAAAACCAUGGGAUGAGUUGUGGGUAGGGGUGAAAUGCCAAUCGAACCCGGAGAUAGCUGGUUCUCCCCGAAAUGCAUUGAGGUGCAGCCCUGAUCGCAGCGAUACGGUGGUAGAGCACUGGAUGGGCUAGGGCGGGAGGACCCGUGCCGAACCCAACCAAACUCCGAAUGCCGUGUCGUGGUCGUCAGGAGUGAGACGGCGGGGGAUAAGCUUCGUCGUCAAAAGGGAAACAACCCAGACCGCCAGCUAAGGUCCCCGAGUGAUGGCUAAGUGGGAAAGGAAGUGGCAUCGCUAAGACAGCCAGGAGGUUGGCUCAGAAGCAGCCAUCCUUCAAAGAGUGCGUAAUAGCUCACUGGUCGAGUGGUGCUGCGCCGAAAAUCCAACGGGGCUCAAGCCAUCCACCGAAGCUGCGGAUCUCGCGCAUGGUGCCGCCCAGCGCGGGGUGGUAGGGGAGCGUUCCGCGACAGGUUGAAGGCAGACCGCAAGGACUGCUGGACGAGGCGGAAGUGCGAAUGCCGGCAUGAGUAGCGAAAAGGCAGGUGAGAAUCCUGCCCGCCGUAAGGCCAAGGGUUCUUACGGAAGGUUCGUCCGCGUAAGGUUAGGCGGGACCUAAGGCGAGGCCGACAGGCGUAGCCGAUGGACAGCCGGUUGAUAUUCCGGCCCCGCCGCGCGUCCGUCACGAGCCAGGGGGGGACGCAGAAGGGUAGGCCUACCGGGUGAUGGUCGUCCCGGGCCAAGCGUGUAGGCGGAGGCGCCAGGCAAAUCCGGUGCCUCAUUCAACGCCGAGGCGCGAGCGCGAGUUCAAGGGCAACCGCGAGCGAAGUGGCCGAGCCCACGCUGCCAAGAAAAGCCUCAGGGCCAGGGCGUGCGGCGCCCGUACCGGAAACCGACACAGGUGGCCGGGCACGUAGAGUGCUCAGGCGCGCGAGAGAACCCUCGUCAAGGAACUCGGCAAGUUGACCCCGUAACCUCGGGAGAAGGGGUGCCUCGAAGGGUGACCGGCUCGCGCCGGGAGCCCGACGGGGCCGCAGUGAAUCGGCUCAGCCGACUGUUUAACAAAAACACAGGUCUCUGCUAAGCCGCAAGGCGACGUAUAGGGGCUGACGCCUGCCCAGUGCCGGAAGGUUAAGGGGAAGGGUUAGUGCGGGUUCGCCCGUGCAAAGCCCAGAACCGAAGCCCCGGUGAACGGCGGCCGUAACUAUGAGACCGGACCGUUGUAGUUACGAUACCAAAAUCCGGCCAUAUGCUGGGAACCCUGAGCAUCCGUACCGUACUCCUCGGCCGCUCGGUCGAGAGUGACAAGCGGGCGGUGCAGGCAAUCAGCAGGAAAGGCGACCGCGCCCGUGGUCGCUUCCUCAGAGGCCAUACGCCGGACACGAGGGCCGCCUGGCUCGUCGUGAAGAGAUGGUCCGACCUGCGUGGCGACAUGCAGAGUGGGUAACCAACCCCACCGCCCAAGACGGGUCGCAACAGCACGAACGGUCCUAAGGUAGACUCGCUGCCUUCCGUGCUGGCAACAGCACGGCAAACAUCCGGCUAUAUGCUGGGAAGUCUGGGGAUCCCACGCUACCCGAAACGUCGUCGGUCAUGGCCGAUAGACCGAGUAGGGUGACAACGUGAUGGGUGCAGACGAUCAGCAGGAAAGGCGGACGGCGCGAGCUUCGCCGGACGGACGUGAACUCCCGGAUGCCUAUGCACGCGCCGGUGCGUUGGGCGCGUACCUCGCCGGGUUUGCUGAUGGUGAAGGGAGCUUUAACGUCUCGUUUCGGCCUCGUAGCGACUACCGAACUCCGUGGAAGGUCUCGUUGUGCUUCAACAUCUCGCAACGCGACGACACUGUGCUCAGGGUGUUUCAUCGGGUCUUGGGAUGCGGAACCCUGAGGCAACGACGGGACGGCGUCUGGUACUUCGAGGUCAACGAUCUCGAGGACAUUCAGGCCCACGUCAUCCCGUUCUUCGAGAAGUAUCAGUUCGUCUCGGUGAAGAAGCGGCGAGACUUUGCGAAGUUUAGGCGGAUAGCGGCCAUCGUCGGCCGUCGAUCGCGACAGGGUCGUGACCGAAUCGAGAAGAUCCUGGAGAUCCGACGGGACAUGAACGACGGUGGGAAGCGGCGCUACGGGGAGGAGGAAAUCCUCCGGAAGUGUGCCGACCGAAUCCUCAGAGACCAUACGCCGGAGGUCCGAGAGAUCGGAUCAAGAUAUGGUCCCGACUGCAUGGCGACUUGCAGGGGUGAUGGCCGACGGUCACCCGCUCAACCGAAUCGGGUUGGGCAAGACGGUCAAGCGAAAUUCCUUGUCGGGUAAGUUCCGACCUGCACGAAUGGCGUAACGAGCUGAGCGCUGUCUCGACGAGGGACUCGGCGAAGUUGUGAGACCAGUGAAGACACUGGUUACCCGCAGCUGGACGGAAAGACCCCGUGGAGCUUUACUGCAACUUGCCAUUGGACUUGGUUUUACCAUGUAGAGGAUAGGUGGGAGGCGUUGAAGCGGGGGCGCCAGCCUCCGUGGAGCCGACCUUGGAAUACCACCCUUGGCAAAAUUAAGUCCUAACCGGCAUCCUCAGCGGGUGUUGAGACAGUGGCAGGUGGGCAGUUUGACUGGGGCGGUCGCCUCCCAAACGGUAACGGAGGCGCCCAAAGGUCCCCUCAGCACGGAUGGAAACCGUGCGUUGAGUGCAAGGGCAUAAGGGGGCUUGACUGUGAGGCCUACAAGCCGAGCAGAGGCGAAAGCCGGGCCUAGUGAUCCUACGCCGGCAAGUGGAAGCGGCGUGGCUUAACGGAUAAAAGCUACCCCGGGGAUAACAGGCUUAUCUCCCCCAAGAGUCCACAUCGACGGGGAGGUUUGGCACCUCGAUGUCGGCUCAUCGCAUCCUGGGGCUGUAGUCGGUCCCAAGGGUUGGGCUGUUCGCCCAUUAAAGCGGUACGUGAGCUGGGUUCAGAACGUCGUGAGACAGUAAGUGACCGCUGCUGUCUAUAAAUCUGGCUAUAUGCUGGAAAGCCUGGGGUAUCCCAUGCUACCCUCCCAAAACCCCUCGGUGCGAUGCCGAAGGAGUGAGGGGGGGUCACAACGCGAUGGGUGCAGGCAAUCAGCAGGGAAGGCCAGACGAGCAGAUCGGCCACUACAGUGCGGGUUUUGUCGACGGAGAAGGUAGUUUCCACGUGGCGGUCCAGCGUAAUCCCACCACGCGGUUGAAGUGGCAGGUGGUUCCGGAGUUCCACGUUUCCCAGAACGAUGGGAAUCAGCAUGUGCUGGCGCUGAUUCGAGAUAUGCUGGGAUGUGGAUACAUCAAGCCGAACCACCAGCGCAGUAUUCGCGACAGAACCUACGUGCUGGUGGUAAGAAAUCACGCCGACCUUGCAGGGAAGGUGAUACCGUUCUUUAGGCGGUAUCCCCUGCGCACGACCAAGCGCGCCGACUUUGAUCGGUUCGCAGAAGUCGUCGCGAUGGUCGAUGAAGGCAGGCACCUCGCUCGAACCGGGUUGAGGGAGGUCCUGGCGCUCGCCUUCUCGAUGAAUCAAGCCGGCGUGAGGCGGCGCAAGCCGCUCGACGCGAUCCUUGCUCAUCUGGAACCCUCAGAGACUAUACGCCAGACGCUCAAUAUCGGGCGAAGAUAUAGUCCGAGCUUCCGGGCGACCGGAAGAGGCAGGCAGAAAUGCCCUGCCCCCUCCAGAUCCUGGAGGAGUAACAAUACUGUCGGUCCCUAUCCACUGUGGGCGCAGGUGACUUGAGGGGAGCUGCUCCUAGUACGAGAGGACCGGAGUGGACGGACCUCUGGUGUACCGGUUGUCCUGCCAAGGGCACGCGCCGGGUAUCUAUGUCCGGACGGGAUAAGCGCUGAAAGCAUCUAAGCGCGAAGCCCACCCCAAGAUGAGGUCACCCACCGGGUGAACCGGGUAAGUCCCCUGGGAGACGACCAGGUUGAUAGGCCGCGGGUGCAAGGCCGCAAGGCUCAGCCUAGCGGUACUAAUAGGACGAGGGCUUGCCUGC